CAACCUCAACUCAUAUGGGACUACCCCCUGAAUUUAAGCAUAUUAAUUAGGGGAGGAAAAGAAACUAACAAGGAUUUUCUUAGUAGCGGCGAGCGAAAAGAAAUCAGUUCAGCACUAAGUCACUUUGUCUAUAUGGCAAAUGUGAGAUGCAGUGUACGGAACAUCAACAUUCUAGUAUGAGAAGUUAACGAUUUAAGUCCUUCUUAAAUGAGGCCAUUUACCCAUAGAGGGUGCCAGGCCCGUAUAACGUUAAUGAUUACUAGAUGGUGUUUCCAAAGAGUCGUGUUGCUUGAUAGUGCAGCACUAAGUGGGUGGUAAACUCCAUCUAAAACUAAAUAUAACCAUGAGACCGAUAGUAAACAAGUACCGUGAGGGAAAGUUGAAAAGAACUCUGAAUAGAGAGUUAAAUAGUACGUGAAACUGCUUAGAGGUUAAGCCCGAUGAACCUGAAUAUCCGUUAUGGAAAAUUCAUCAUUAGAAUUGUAAUAUUUUAAACAAUAUUAUAAUAAUAGUGUGCAUUUUUUCCAUAUAAGGACAUUGUAAUCUAUUAGCAUAAAUAUUUAUCAUAAAAUUAUGUCUGAUUGCUUAUUUGAAUUAUAUGCUUGGCAUUUUAACAUAAAAUAAAAGAUAUAAAUUUGAUAAAGUGCUGAUAGA
Molecule: non-coding RNA, 654 nt
Filed under: Drosophila virilis
Lineage: Eukaryota; Metazoa; Arthropoda; Insecta; Diptera; Drosophilidae
Description: Eukaryotic large subunit ribosomal RNA
Rfam family: Eukaryotic large subunit ribosomal RNA
Source: Rfam by way of RNAcentral